This 681-nucleotide long non-coding RNA is filed under the name Ooceraea biroi (clonal raider ant). Its description in RNAcentral is "uncharacterized LOC105281218, transcript variant X1". Lineage: Eukaryota; Metazoa; Arthropoda; Insecta; Hymenoptera; Formicidae. The record is from RNAcentral.
UGUAUGUAUGCAUGCGUACGUGCGUGCAAUCUGACAGCUACACGGCACGGCAGCAUUCAGCCCAUGGUAACACAGGAAUGCUCUAUGUUUUAUGAAGACGCACUGACAGUCACCACGAGUAUAAGUCGACUGGUAACAUGGUGUCUCUACCGUAUGUGACGGCGUACUCAUUCAAUAAACACGAGCAUAUACGCAGCAGCGCCACUCAUCGCCUGUAUGGAACACGCACGGAUGAUGUCGUUCUACAGACUUUUAUAUAAUACACUAGACCGCGUACUGCUGCUUAUCAGACGGACCAAUCAACUCGAGCUUCUUUCGAGCUGCUGAGGCUUCGUCGCUCCUGUCGCUGUAUCCGCGCGGCGUCAUAAGAGUCUGCAUACUCUUUACAAUGGGAACCGAUUUUCUAAGCCUACUAUAUGGCCCUGGAAUCGCCGAUUAGGACUUUUCAGACCAUUACAGCGGAUGCUAGAAUGCACACCGUUUGACGCCUGCGACGUCGAAGCCGCUGAAGGCGGCGUCCAUAUCUAUAUUUAUAUACAUGUUUUUUUAACCAAAAAAAUAUUUUUAUAUUGUAUUUUUGGUAAAACUCCUGUUUAGGGGAGCCUGCUCCAAUGACCUUGACCUUGACAUAUGUUGUCAAGGUUACCCUCCUGAGUAAUGUAAAAAAGAUUUUAACCGUCG